GCCAGUGUGGUGUAGUGGUUUGUGUGUUGGACUAUGACUCUGGAGACCAGGGUUCAAAUCCCCCCCUUGGCC
This 72-nucleotide transfer RNA is filed under the name Phrynosoma platyrhinos (Desert horned lizard). Its description in RNAcentral is "tRNA-OTHER". Lineage: Eukaryota; Metazoa; Chordata; Lepidosauria; Squamata; Phrynosomatidae. The record is from RNAcentral.